Dipodomys ordii (Ord's kangaroo rat) is the source of this 65-nucleotide non-coding RNA. Lineage: Eukaryota; Metazoa; Chordata; Mammalia; Rodentia; Heteromyidae. The record is from Rfam.
GGUGGCUCAGUGGUAGAGUGCUUGCCUUGCAUGCAUGAGGUCCUGGGUUCGAUUCCCCAGCACCA